CAGUCGCCACGGUAAAACGGAGGGUGCUAGCGUUGUUCGGAAUCACUGGGCGUAAAGGGCGCGUAGGCGGCCUGUUAAGUCGGAUGUGAAAGCCCGGGGCUCAACCCCGGAACUGCAUCCGAGACUGGCAGGCUUGAGACCGGGAGAGGAGGGUGGAAUAUCCAGUGUAGAGGUGAAAUUCGUAGAUAUUGGAUGGAACACCGGUGGCGAAAGCGGCUCUCUGGCCCGGAUCUGACGCUGAGGCGCGAAAGCGUGGGGAGCAAACAGGAUUAGAUACCCCAGUAGUCCCUGUCUCUUAUAC
Molecule: ribosomal RNA, 301 nt
Filed under: uncultured bacterium
Lineage: Bacteria
Description: partial 16S ribosomal RNA
Rfam family: Bacterial small subunit ribosomal RNA
Source: RNAcentral